Molecule: long non-coding RNA, 234 nt
Filed under: Lathyrus oleraceus (garden pea)
Lineage: Eukaryota; Viridiplantae; Streptophyta; Magnoliopsida; Fabales; Fabaceae
Description: Pisum sativum (pea) long non-coding RNA (PSAT_LNC020615)
Source: RNAcentral
UCAGAAUGAUGAAAUUGUUGCUUGUAUGUUUUUAAAUAAAACUUUGUUGGAGAUGUAAAUCAUUGUUUCAAAUCCCCAAACACCAGAGGUAUAAGGAAGAUAAUCCAUAGUUUACCCCUUUGAGCCUAGGAGUAGAACUUUCUUUCUAUACAAAAAACCCUCAAUCAUAACCAGGGGCAUGGUAGUUCUCAGUUAGUUUGACCAUGCGUUCAAAUUUCAAAAAGAGGAGUAUCC